UCCUAGUUGUACACUUUUCUGUGUGGCCUU
Molecule: non-coding RNA, 30 nt
Filed under: Macaca fascicularis (crab-eating macaque)
Lineage: Eukaryota; Metazoa; Chordata; Mammalia; Primates; Cercopithecidae
Also listed under: 1 other name
Source: RNAcentral